AGCCACCUAAUAACAGGAACCCACCAGAGAGUUGUCCUCUGUAUUCCCUGGAUUCCACACAGGAAGAUCACAGCAUCCCUCGCUGUUGCAAGGGUGAAGAUCUGAUAGAUAUAAAAGUUGAUCUUAAAGCAGAAGAUGAAGAAACGUAUGUGAGGGAUGAUCGGCAGUCUGCAGAGGUGGAUGGAAUAACGGGGACAUCAAAGAUCAGAACAGUAGAUGGACGGGAG
Long non-coding RNA from Rana temporaria (common frog), 227 nucleotides. RefSeq lists it as uncharacterized. The transcript is spliced from 3 exons. The record is from RefSeq and is a predicted model, not a curated record. Lineage: Eukaryota; Metazoa; Chordata; Amphibia; Anura; Ranidae.